GGCAUCGAGUGAUCGCAGUUUACUGAGUUCAUGUCGGCGAGCGGCGGACGGGUGAGUAAAGUCUGGGAAUCUGGCCGAAGGAGGGGGAUAACUGCUGGAAACGGCAGCUAAUACCGCAUGAAGUCGCGAGACCAAAGUGGGGGACCUUCGGGCCUCACGCCUUCGGAUGAGCCCAGAUGAGAUUAGCUGGUAGGUAAGGUAAAGGCUUACCUAGGCGACGAUCUCUAGCGGGUCUGAGAGGAUAGCCCGCCACACUGGAACUGAGACACGGUCCAGACUCCUACGGGAGGCAGCAGUGGGGAAUAUUGCACAAUGGGCGAAAGCCUGAUGCAGCCAUGCCACGUGUGUGAAGAAGGCCUUCGGGUUGUAAAGCACUUUCAGCGAGGAGGAAGCGAUAAAUGCGAAUACCAUUUAUUUUUGACGUUACUCGCAGAAGAAGCACCGGCUAACUCCGUGCCAGCAGCCGCGGUAAUACGGAGGGUGCGAGCGUUAAUCGGAAUAACUGGGCGUAAAGGGCAUGUAGGCGGCGAGUUAAGUCAGAUGUGAAAUCCCCGAGCUCAACUUGGGAAUGGCAUUUGAAACUGGGUCGCUAGAGUUUUCUAGAGGGGGGUAGAAUUCCAGGUGUAGCGGUGAAAUGCGUAGAUAUCUGGAGGAAUACCGGUGGCGAAGGCGGCCCCCUGGAG
Molecule: ribosomal RNA, 683 nt
Filed under: Candidatus Williamhamiltonella defendens
Lineage: Bacteria; Pseudomonadati; Pseudomonadota; Gammaproteobacteria; Enterobacterales; Enterobacteriaceae
Description: bacterial SSU rRNA
Rfam family: Bacterial small subunit ribosomal RNA
Source: RNAcentral